CCUACGGGUGGCAGCAGUGAGGAAUAUUGGUCAAUGGACGCGAGUCUGAACCAGCCAAGUAGCGUGAAGGAUGACUGCCCUAUGGGUUGUAAACUUCUUUUAUAUGGGAAUAAAAUGUUCCACGUGUGCCUUUUUGUAUGUACCUUAUGAAUAAGGAUCGGCUAACUCCGUGCCAGCAGCCGCGGUAAUACGGAGGAUCCGAGCGUUAUCCGGAUUUAUUGGGUUUAAAGGGAGCGUAGAUGGGUUGUUAAGUCAGUUGUGAAAGUUUGCGGCUCAACCGUAAAAUUGCAGUUGAUACUGGCAGCCUUGAGUACAGUAGAGGUAGGCGGAAUUCGUGGUGUAGCGGUGAAAUGCUUAGAUAUCACGAAGAACUCCGAUUGCGAAGGCAGCUCACUGGAGUGCAACUGACACUGAGGCUCGAAAGUGUGGGUAUCAAACAGGAUUAGAUACCCGUGUAGUC
RNAcentral lists this ribosomal RNA (460 nucleotides) under uncultured bacterium. Its description in RNAcentral is "partial 16S ribosomal RNA". It matches the Rfam family "Bacterial small subunit ribosomal RNA", at positions 338 to 795 of the family's 1533-position model. The record is from RNAcentral.